Molecule: RNA transcript, 1167 nt
Organism: Belonocnema kinseyi
Lineage: Eukaryota; Metazoa; Arthropoda; Insecta; Hymenoptera; Cynipidae
Gene name: androgen-induced gene 1 protein-like
Exons: 5
Source: RefSeq, a predicted model, not a curated record
AUGCGAGAAACUCUUUUAUUUGGAUUUCAUGCGAUUGCAUGCCUGCAAUUCGCAUUUGCAGUCUUCUAUGAUUAUACAUACGUCGUUAUACCAAAAGGUGUCGGGAGGAAUCAUGGCGCUUAUGGUGGAAAAUUCAAAUUUCUCACCUUCUGGGACGGGAUUGUGCAAUCGGUCUUCUUCUUAAUCUGCAUGCUGAACGAUGUCUAUGGAACGAAUAAAAGCAACCCCAAAAAAACGCCUUUCAUUCGCCGUUUGAAAGACUAUUACCAUGCAACGCUUAGUUUUCCUGUUGCUAUGUUUGUGGGCGUUACAUUCUGGUCACUGAUGUUCGUUGAUCGCGAACUGGUUUUGCCGAAGGCACUGGACCCAUAUUUUCCAGGCUGGUUGAAUCAUUUAAUGCACACAAUGAUUAUGGUGACCACAAUUUUGGAAAUGGUUAUCGCUCCUCGUCAAUAUCCAACACGAGGACAAGGUCUUGCAGGAAAUUUAACAUUUAUGCUCAUCUAUUUAGUCUGGAUGCAGAUAAUCUACAUGAAGAGCGGAAUUUGGGUCUACCCUGUGAUGGAAGUGCUGACUAUACCUUUAAGGAUAGCCUUUAUUACAGUACUUCUUUUCUUCACAAUAAUUCUCUACUUUACCGGAGAGACGUUGAAUCAUCUCAUCUGGGGUAACGAUCAAUUCAAACAGCAAAAAUCUCAUAUGAAAGCCAAGUAGCCUCGCCAGUUGUCACCGUCUGGUGACGUCUGCACGCGUUCUGCCCUCUACGGUGGUGGUAAAAAAAAAUACCUAGCAGAUGUAGAGAUCCCAGUUUCCAAAACGUAGAUGCGACAAACAAGAAGAGGACUACUUCAAAGGUCAAAAAUACUCCCAAAGAACUUCGAGUCCUUGUAAGAAGAAAUUCGGCUCGUCCUUAGCGAAUAAGUAAUUAUUAUAAAAAAUUAGGAUAUGAAUCUCAAGCAUUUUCCGAGAUAUUUUUACGAAUAUCAUUAAGUUUUUGCGACGCAAGACAAUCAAAAAUGAGAUGACAUUUUUUACUCUUUUUAAACAGAAAAAGAUUAUCUACAAUUCCCCUUUCACUGCCUCAUUCUUUGUUUCAUUAACCAAUUAAAUGUUUAAACAAUUUGAAUAAUUUAUACGUUUAACGGUGUAGGCAUUUUUCAAUAAAAU